RNAcentral lists this long non-coding RNA (366 nucleotides) under Mytilus galloprovincialis (Mediterranean mussel). Lineage: Eukaryota; Metazoa; Mollusca; Bivalvia; Mytilida; Mytilidae. The record is from RNAcentral.
UAAGUAUAUUGCUAUAGAUAAAUUGUUUCCUGAAUACAUGUAGAACAGGUAAUAUGAACUACCUACGUGUUGAAAAGUUGUAAACAAUUUAUAUACACAUCUUAAGUUGACGAGUAAAUGCUCUAUUGAAAGAGCUAGUUUUGUGGGACAACUAUCUAGUAUUCUUAGACGGGGAAGAAGGGGCACAAUGUGAAUAAAUUGAUCAAUGAGACGACAACUUACAGCACAAUAGCAAAAUUAUCAACCUUUUACGUUAGAUUCCUUUACUCGGUUUACGGUAGGGUUGAGUUUAAGGGUUAGGGUUAUAGAGUUAGGGAAGAUAUGUGGGUUUUUGGUUAGGUUGUAUAAAUAUAAAUGGUUUGGGAC